GAUGAACGCGCCGCGUGAGUGAUGACGGCCUUCGGGUUGUAAAGCUCUGUUGUAAGGGAAGAACAGGUAGUAGAGGAAAUGCUAUUACUCUGACGGUACCUUACCAGAAAGCCACGGCUAACUACGUGCCAGCAGCCGCGGUAAUACGUAGGUGGCGAGCGUUAUCCGGAAUUAUUGGGCGUAAAGGGUGCGUAGGCGGCUUAUUAAGUCUGUGGUUAAAGUGCGGGGCUCAACUCCGUAUGGCCAUAGAAACUGAUAGGCUAGAGUGCAGGAGAGGGCAAUGGAAUUCCAUGUGUAGCGGUAAAAUGCGUAGAUAUAUGGAGGAACACCGGUGGCGAAGGCGGCUGCCUGGCCUGCAACUGACGCUGAAGCACGAAAGCGUGGGGAGCAAAUAGGAUUAGAUACCCUAGUAGUCCACGCUGUAAACGAUGAAUACUAAGUGUUGGAGUAAUUCAGUGCUGUAGUUAACGCAAUAAGUAUUCCGCCUGGGGAGUAUGCACGCAAGUGUGAAACUCAAAGAAAUUGACGG
This 529-nucleotide ribosomal RNA is filed under the name uncultured Erysipelothrix sp. RNAcentral's name for it is "bacterial SSU rRNA". It matches the Rfam family "Bacterial small subunit ribosomal RNA", at positions 385 to 916 of the family's 1533-position model. Lineage: Bacteria; Bacillati; Bacillota; Erysipelotrichia; Erysipelotrichales; Erysipelotrichaceae. The record is from RNAcentral.